UUUCUCAUUCUUUCCAAAAACCUCCGGUUGCUUCUCACAAGCAUUCCCACCCCACCGCUUCUCUUUGCUCCGCCUCCCAUUGACGUCUAACAAAUUAUCCCUUCAUAUUCUUACCCAUCAAUGUAGGUGAAAUCCCUAGCGAUAGUUCCAUGAUUAGGCCCUUCAAAGAUAGAAAUCUACUUUCGAUUGAAAGAUAGAAAUCUACUUUGGUGAAAAAGAAAUAUGCCAUGUUAGGUCUACCCGAAGGUCCAUAAACAGUGAAAAAUCGCAAACCAGUAAUUGAUAGAUCGUAGAUAUGAGUGUAAGCAUGAGCGAUUUUUUCACCGGAUUUCUUUGUGGCGGCGUAAAGGGUCACCGGUUGAUCGGUUCGAUCGAAGAGAGAGAGAGAGAGAGACGACGACGAAGAGGGUGAGGUCGAUUUAUUCGACUGAUACCGAUUGCGCUUUACAGGUUCGUUUUUUCUUCAAUUCUACUUUUGUUUUACUAUACGUUUCCGAUUGACGCCUGUUUUGAUUCCCGCUGCUUAUUUUUCAGAUUUUGUGAUUGAUUUGUUUGUCUCUGGUGAGCCGGAUCUUCCACCGCCUCCGAUUCAAGUAUCAAAUCCACCCAAAGAUGUUCUAUUUUUCGAUCACCUGCACAACAACUGCACAACAACUGAGGGUCACUUAAGUUAUAGCUAUGUCAUAAUUAAAGGUCAUUACUGCUCAUAAUUAUAUUUCCAUCUUAAAGUAUAAUUUUCCCAUUUGAUUUUAAUUUCUUAUUUCCAUGAGGUAAAUUAAAGGUUGUGCCAUUGUUAAAUGCAGGUAUCUCUUAUUCCCUCUAUCAAAUUCCAUUCACAAAUUUAGGAUUUUUUUUUCAUAUAUUAAUAUGGAUAACUUGAUCGUUUUGUUUAUUAUCCUGGGUAUUUGUGUUUGUGAAUUUAUUAUUCGGAUGAGGUUAAAGGUAGUCUUUUGCACUUCUUAUUUUCCAUUUUAUAUUAAGAAGAAUUUGUUAACUAACAAGUGAUGUGGAAAUACAUCUAAUCAGUCAACUUAUAAUAUUUUCUGCCUUUCUUUAGUUCAUGAAUUGGCUCUGUGAAAUUGGAGCUGGCGUCUGUGACAUGAUGAAUGGGUGCUUAUUUAGCAUGUUGAAUGUUGGAUUUUGUCCUGGCAAUGGGAGCUUUUAUAGAACCAGCAGGAUGGUAGUAGCAGCCAUGUUCAACUCUUUAAGGUUAGUUGUCUUUCCAAGGAUUAAAUACAAUGUACUUUUAUUUUAUUUGUGCAUUAUGUCAUUUUGUUUUCAUUCAUCUCUAUGCCUAAAUUCACUGUACAUUUAUAGCUUUUGUUACUAAAGCAUUGUAUUGUGAAAAAUAUACAAAUUAUAGCAUUGUACUUUCAACCUUUUUCUUAUUACAACAUUCUACAGUGAUUGUUUAGCCAAUUAUUUUUUUCGCUUUAGUUACUUGAAACUUUUUUUUUUUCUGUAACGAUUAAACCGUUAUAGUUUUUUGACCAUUUUUUGGACUAUUUGUUUUUUGAUAUAAUUUCAAAAUGUAAAAAAACACAGCUUACUUUUACCGUUUGUCAAUCUACCUAUUGUGAAUUACUCUUCUUAUCGAUUUAUUCUAAACUAUUAUUUUUUUUCUCCAUUGAGCCUCAUAACUGUUUUCUGUAGUGAUUAAUCCAAUAUUCUCUGCUGACUAUAUAAUAAACCCGUUUAUUGUUGCUGUGCGGUUUUGAUAUCGGUUUACCUGUUGUGCUAUUUUUUUAAACAAUUUAGCCACUAAACUGUUGCUCUUUUGCUGUGGAAAUGGUUUUCCAAGAUUUCUAACACGAAACUUUAAAAAACAUGAUUUUUUUUUAAUUUCUUCGCAAGUAAAAUUUGAUUUUCACAGGUAAAACCUGUGAAAAUCUUGGGAAGUGGAUAACUGGAUUAGCAUGAUUUGUCUUUUUCUCUCUUAUUUAUCAUUUUAGGUUUUUAACUACUUAACUAUUUUAUGUAGUGAUUAAAAUACUAUUCUUCUUUUGACCAUUUAGAAUAACCAUCCAUUUUCAAAUUUAGUUUCUGAAGUCGUAAUGAUCCUAUUUGAAAAGGCAACUUAUCAUUCAUACUUUACCAUAAGGUUGAUUCCAUAUAUUUAUAUAAGGGUAACCUGGUCAUUUGGCAGGAAAAGGGUCCAUGGGAGAUGGAUGCUCAUGAAAGAGUCGAAGCAGCUGGGAAGAAGAAAGAAGAAGGAAAUAUUCUUUGUAGGUGCUUUCAAUUCACCAAUUUGUUUUACCGUUGAAAGUUUCUUGCUGUUUUGGAAUAAUUUCAAUUGUUGAACUUUUAUUUCUGGCUUGAGCGCUGAUGUCCUUAUUAGUGGUUGUAUAAUUGUAUUGGGGUGCUGAUAUUUUGAGCCUCCUUAUUUGAUCU
RNAcentral lists this long non-coding RNA (2391 nucleotides) under Lactuca sativa (garden lettuce). Its description in RNAcentral is "long non-coding RNA (LSAT_LNC000860)". Lineage: Eukaryota; Viridiplantae; Streptophyta; Magnoliopsida; Asterales; Asteraceae. The record is from RNAcentral.